Drosophila arizonae is the source of this 1025-nucleotide long non-coding RNA. Lineage: Eukaryota; Metazoa; Arthropoda; Insecta; Diptera; Drosophilidae. The record is from RefSeq and is a predicted model, not a curated record.
GUUGGGUUAUUUUAGUAUAUUGAUAGGUUACGUUCGAUUUUUUUGUUUCACUUUAAUUAGACAACAAAAUAGGGAUUAAAAAAAAAAGGGGGGAUAUAUAUAUAUAUACCAAUGCACACAGCGACGUUGCCAGAUCAUCAAUUGAGCCUAGCAAAAAAAAAGUAGGUGGAUGGGUGAGGUAGGGAAUUGUCUAACGCCUACAAUCAGCUGCAAAAUAGACUACACAAAUUUUGUUGUUUGCAGCUAAAAUUAUAACUGGGACACAAAAAUAAUAGUGGGAACUCGUUUCUGUGUGUGUGCUACAAAUAUAACUUUCUGGUACGUUAAUUGGCUGUAGUUGUGUUUUUGUUGGUAUGUUUGCAGAUGAAGAAACUGAAGUUAAAAUUUACCUCGACUUGUUGUAACCGUAUGGGGGAUAACCACCGUUAUUAUUGUUACUACCCGGAUUAUUGUUGCCGUACAUAUCCUGAGAGUGUGUGUGCACGAGUAUUUUUUGCAAAAUACUCUCAGUGCGUCGUUCUUUUGUACAAGACUUGAAGAUUUUUUCUCGUUCUCUCUCUUUCGCACGUAUGUCUCGAUCUACGAGAUCAGAGAGUUUCGAAUUCUACUCUCUCUCCCUGUGUCUUAGUCGAUUGGCGCUCAGCGCUCUCAGCUGCCAGCUGCUGUUCUAGAUUAUUCUCUUUUUGUGGUUUAUGCUCAAAUUGUCUCGUCUGCUUUGGGUGUGGUGUUAGUGAGCGAGCGGGUGCUGUAUGAAACUGUGUGUGGGAGUGUGUCUGUGUGUGUGUGUGUCUAUGAGUGUAUUUUAUUGCCUGGCGAGAGCUUUUUCAGGCUCUCGUCGUAGACUGGAACGCAAACAGUUGCGUUUAAAGCCUUUUCGUUUCCUUCUCUUUCUUUCUUUUAUCAGUUAGUAUCAAAUAUAUUGGCGGGCACUUUGUCUCUUCUUCUUUGUAGACUGUUUUAUAUUACUCCCUCUCUUUCUUCUUUGUAGCUGUUGUUGGCGCGCUCAGCUGUGUAGCGGUUGUUAC